GCUGGGUGUGGUGGCACAUGCCUGUAAUCCCAGCUACUCGGGAGGCUGAGGCAGGAGACUCGCUUGAAGCUGGGAGGCGGAGCUUGCAGUGAGCAGAGAUCAUGCCACUGCACUCCAGCCUGGGCGACAGACUCCGUCUCAAAAAAAAAGAAGACAGAGUCUCACCCUGUUGCCUAGGCUGGAGUGCAGUGGCAUGAUCUCUGCUCACUGCAACCUCUGCCUCCCGGAUUCAAGCGAUUCUCAUGCCUCA
RNAcentral lists this signal recognition particle RNA (250 nucleotides) under Homo sapiens (human). Its description in RNAcentral is "Metazoan signal recognition particle RNA (ENSG00000275788.1)". It matches the Rfam family "Metazoan signal recognition particle RNA". Rfam says of the family: The signal recognition particle (SRP) is a universally conserved ribonucleoprotein. Lineage: Eukaryota; Metazoa; Chordata; Mammalia; Primates; Hominidae. The record is from RNAcentral.